CAGUAGCCGCGGUAAUAGGUAGGGUGCAAGCGUUAAUCGGAAUUACUGGGCGUAAAGCGUGCGCAGGCGGUCCGCUAAGACAGAUGUGAAAUCCCCGGGCUUAACCUGGGAACUGCAUUUGUGACUGGCGGGCUAGAGUAUGGCAGAGGGGGGUAGAAUUCCACGUGUAGCAGUGAAAUGCGUAGAGAUGUGGAGGAAUACCGAUGGCGAAGGCAGCCCCCUGGGCCAAUACUGACGCUCAUGCACGAAAGCGUGGGGAGCAAACAGGAUUAGAUACCCCUGUAGUCCCUGUCUCUUAUAC
This 301-nucleotide ribosomal RNA is filed under the name uncultured bacterium. RNAcentral describes it as "partial 16S ribosomal RNA". It matches the Rfam family "Bacterial small subunit ribosomal RNA", at positions 509 to 807 of the family's 1533-position model. The record is from RNAcentral.